UUUCAGUUUCCUCCUAAACUCUUAGCCCCAAAUUUGCUGAACUUUUCAUUUUCAUCUUCCCCAAAAUCUCAACCAACCUUCAAUCUCCAUCUCAGUUUUAUUUCCCCCAAUUGGCAUUCCAUCUCAGGUUCCUUAAAAUCGCGCCUUCAUUCAUCUAGAUGCGAAAAAACUCCAAAAUUACUCAUCUUGCGAAAAACCCCAGAUCCCUAAAAUCACUUGAAGCCUUACGUGAUCAAAAAACUUGAAUUUGAAAUCAAAUCCUUGCAUAUUGCUUUGCACCUUGCUGCCGAACGAGGAGGAGGAAGGAGGUGCCGUGUAACGUCGGUGGCGAAGAGUCUCCGGUGAAAACGAGGAGGUGGAGGAGGCGCGCUUCACAUGGACGACACAAUUCCUGGAAGCUCCGACGAGUUCCUGAAACGUGUUUCCUCCCGUGCUUAUGACAUGCGCAGGAAUCUUCAUCAGUCUUUUGAUUCUAGUAGCUACGACGGAAAUUUUUUCUCUACUUCAAGAGAACGAAACUUUGCUGAAAUUGAAUAAGAAGCUGAAUCAAGAAAAGGAAACCUUGUUGAAGAACAAGGAUUUGACAGAUACUCAAAUUGGAAAGUUAACUAAAUCCUUGGAGGCAAUGCAGAAAGAUAUCAGAGACAAAGAGAAUCAGGUGCUAGUUUUAAAACAGUCCUUGGAACACCAAAGAAAAGAGCUCAAUGAUUGCAGAGCUGAGAUCACUUCACUGAAAAUGCAUAUUGAAGGGUCUCUCUCAGGAAAUAAUCUGUCUAUCAGGGAAGUUACUAAUGUUCAAUCUCAAUCUAUAGAGAAAUAUGAGGAAGAAAUUAAGAAAUUGAAGGUGGAAAUUGAAUUGCUGAAGGAAAAGAAUGUCAGAGCUCCUGAACUUGGAAGUUUUGUUGGUUUUGCAAUGGAAAAUUUAGAGAGAUGAUAAAGUGAUCGAGAUUCACGAAGACCGAGGGAUUAGGAACAAUUCAGAUACUUGCAGAUGCUUUGUCUAAAAUUGUUCCUUAUGUCUUGAUCAACCACGUGAGAUUAGCAUUGGCUUUUCAGGAUAAACAUGCUAUUUGGAAUGCAUAUACACUCUUUUUAUGUCUCACCAGGUAUAUAUAAUAUCAUUUACCUAUUUAACUUCACAAAAUAUGUUAUUUCGACACAAACACCAUAGUUAUAAAAAUCGUAUAAUAAAGAAGUGAAAGUGUUAUAGUCAAAUUUGUGUGUCAAAUUGUAUAACUAGAUAUUUUAGAAGCCUUAAUUGUGUCAAAUUUGAUGCUCUUCCUAAUCUGGAACAGUUCAUUUACUGCUCUUCUGCUGGUGUCUAUCUCAAAUCUGAUAUAUUACCUCAUGUUGAGAUUGAUGCAGUUGACCCUAAGAGCAGACACAAGGGAAAGCUUGAAA
Cicer arietinum (chickpea) is the source of this 1401-nucleotide non-coding RNA. The record is from RefSeq and is a predicted model, not a curated record. Lineage: Eukaryota; Viridiplantae; Streptophyta; Magnoliopsida; Fabales; Fabaceae.